UUAAUUGUUGUAUUAUUUGAUUUUUUUGUGAAUUAAGUUGGUUAUGAAAAACAAUUUUUGUUUCACUAGUUUUAGUAAUUGAUAUUGAAUAAAUUUUUAUUAUAAUAGUUUACUAGUACCGUGAGGGUAUAUUUAACAUUGUGUAUUACAAAGUAUUUCUUUUGAAUAAAAGUACCUUUUGUAUCAGGGAUAUUCUAAUUUAUUAAUAUAUAUUAAUAUCUCGAAAUAAUUAGAGCUAUAUUAUUUUUAUAGUAAGUGUAACAUAACUUUUGUACAGGGUAAUAUGGUUGGUGAAAUGCCAUUCGAUAAUUGUGAUAUCUAGUUAUUUAAUAAUUGAAUUUAAUUCGGUUAAAGUUAAUUGAACCAAAUAUCUUGGGUAUUUGAUUUUUUACUUUUUAAAGUUGGUGGGGGAUUAGCUUCAUUAAUUUGUCGUUAUUUAUAAUGUUGUCUAUUUUUGUAAUUGAGUUGGGCUUGAAGGUAGCUAUAUUUGUCUUGUGAUGGUGUUAUGAUUUUUUUUACAUUAGUUGUUAAUUUUGUUUCUUUUAAAUAAAAUAUUAAAUAAAUUAAUAUAACAAUAAUAAUUGUUGAUAUAAUGAAUAUAUUAGUAUAUAAUUUUGUAUUUUGUAUUGUGUAAUUUUAAUGAAAGGAACUAGGCAAUAUUUGAUUAAUUAAUCUCUCGCCUGUUUAUCAAAAACAUGUCUUACUGAAUAUAUAUUAGGUCUGACCUGCCCAAUGAUUUAUAUUUAAUGGCCGCGGUAUAUUGACCGUGCAAAGGUAGCAUAAUCAUUAGUCUUUUAAUUGUAGGCUGGAAUGAACGGUUGGACGAGGAGAAAUCUGUCUCUUGUUUAUUAGUUGAAUUUAACGUUUAGGUGAAAAGGCUUAAAUGACUUUGUAGGACGAUAAGACCCUAUAGAUCUUAACAUUUUGUUAAGUUGUUAUAAUUUGUUAAGUUGAAUUACUUAUUUUUAAUGUUUCGUUGGGGCGACGGUGAGAAAUAAAGAUCUCUCAUUUGUUAAUUACAUUUAUAUAUGGUUGUUUGAUCCGUUAUUUGCGAUUAUAAGACUAAGUUACCUUAGGGAUAACAGCGUAAUCUUUUUAGAGAGUUCUUAUUGAUAAUAAGGGUUGCGACCUCGAUGUUGGAUUAAGAGAUAAGGUUUGGUGCAAAAGCUGAAAUGAUUAGGUCUGUUCGACCUUUAAUUUCUUACAUGAUCUGAGUUCAAACCGGCGUGAGCCAGGUUGGUUUCUAUCCUCAGGAUAGUUUAAAUAUUUUAGUACGAGAGGACCAAAUAUUUAAAAUACUUUUUAUUUUUUGUAUAAAAAUA
Molecule: ribosomal RNA, 1322 nt
Filed under: Tricholepidion gertschi
Lineage: Eukaryota; Metazoa; Arthropoda; Insecta; Zygentoma; Lepidotrichidae
Description: 16S ribosomal RNA
Rfam family: Archaeal large subunit ribosomal RNA (bases 626-1322)
Source: RNAcentral